Molecule: long non-coding RNA, 514 nt
Organism: Felis catus (domestic cat)
Lineage: Eukaryota; Metazoa; Chordata; Mammalia; Carnivora; Felidae
Exons: 3
Source: RefSeq, a predicted model, not a curated record
GCGAGAUCGUGACCUCAGCCGAAGUCGGCCGCCCGACCUACUGAGCCACCCAGCGCUUAAGAGAUCUUCAGUUUGGGUUCCUCUUCAGUGUGCUCCUGACCUCCCCUCAAGUGAGGACCGGUAUCUUUGAUGUUUUCUGCUUGAACCUGGGUUGAAACUACAUGACCUUUUGAGAACGUGCAGAAUCCUCCGCCCCAGAAUCCUCCCCUUGGGACCUCGCUGUGCUUGUUGUGUAUGUCAAAAAACGGGCAAGCGACGCGCACAUAAAAUGUCAAGAUCCAAGAAAACUGCAAGACCGACCUGCUUAACCAAGCAUUUCUGGAAGGGAAGAGUCCUUUUGACUAAUGCUUUCAGACAGUCUGCUCCCUGUCCAUUUAUCACCAGUUCCUGUUUGCCAAUCCCAAGCAUAUCAUUUAUAUGUGCCCAGAAUCCCUGGGUAAUGGGCAUGCUGUAAAAAUAAAUAGAAUAAAUAAAUUAGUUCUUGAGCUUCUCGAAUAAAUCCAGUUGAAUUAAA